CGCGGCCUAUCAGCUUGUUGGUGGGGUAACGGCCUACCAAGGCAUCGACGGGUAGCUGGUCUGAGAGGAUGAUCAGCCACACUGGGACUGAGACACGGCCCAGACUCCUACGGGAGGCAGCAGUGGGGAAUCUUGCGCAAUGGGCGAAAGCCUGACGCAGCAACGCCGCGUGCGGGAAGAAGGCCUUAGGGUUGUAAACCGCUUUCAGUAGGAACGAAAAUGACGGUACCUGCAGAAGAAGGUGCGGCCAACUACGUGCCAGCAGCCGCGGUGACACGUAGGCACCAAGCGUUGUCCGGAUUUAUUGGGCGUAAAGAGCUCGUAGGCGGUUCAGUAAGUCGGGUGUGAAAACUCUGGGCUUAACCCAGAGCCGCCACUCGAUACUGCUGUGACUUGAGUUCGGUAGGGGAGCAGGGAAUUCCUAGUGUAGCGGUGAAAUGCGCAGAUAUUAGGAGGAACACCGGUGGCGAAGGCGCUGCUCUGGGCCGAUACUGACGCUGAGGAGCGAAGGCGUGGGUAGCAAACAGGAUUAGAUACCCUGGUAGUCCACGCCGUAAACGUUGGGCACUAGGUGUGGGUUCCAACCAACGGAAUCCGCGCCGUCGCUAACGCAUUAAGUGCCCCGCCUGGGGAGUACGG
Molecule: ribosomal RNA, 639 nt
Filed under: uncultured bacterium
Lineage: Bacteria
Description: bacterial SSU rRNA
Rfam family: Bacterial small subunit ribosomal RNA
Source: RNAcentral